This 459-nucleotide ribosomal RNA is filed under the name uncultured bacterium. RNAcentral's name for it is "partial 16S ribosomal RNA". It matches the Rfam family "Bacterial small subunit ribosomal RNA", at positions 338 to 795 of the family's 1533-position model. The record is from RNAcentral.
CCUACGGGGGGCAGCAGUGAGGAAUAUUGGUCAAUGGCCGAGAGGCUGAACCAGCCAAGUCGCGUGAGGGAAGACGGCCCUACGGGUUGUAAACCUCUUUUGUCGGGGAGCAAAGAGAGUCACGUGUGACUCAUUGAGAGUACCCGAAGAAAAAGCAUCGGCUAACUCCGUGCCAGCAGCCGCGGUAAUACGGAGGAUGCGAGCGUUAUCCGGAUUUAUUGGGUUUAAAGGGUGCGCAGGCGGAGGGGCAAGUCAGCGGUCAAAUUGCGGGGCUCAACCCCGUACUGCCGUUGAAACUGCAGCCCUUGAGUGCGCGAGAAGUAUGCGGAAGGCGUGGUGUAGCGGUGAAAUGCAUAGAUAUCACGCAGAACUCCGAUUGCGAAGGCAGCAUACCGGCGCGCAACUGACGCUCAUGCACGAAAGCGUGGGUAUCGAACAGGAUUAGAUACCCCAGUAGUC